Molecule: ribosomal RNA, 1325 nt
Filed under: Triticum aestivum (bread wheat)
Lineage: Eukaryota; Viridiplantae; Streptophyta; Magnoliopsida; Poales; Poaceae
Description: partial small subunit ribosomal RNA
Source: RNAcentral
AGCCCCUGGAGGUCUCGUAGAGGCGGCAGCACUUGCAGAUAAAAGCACCCAAUGGGAGCUUCCUCUUCUCCCCCUCUUACGCCCGGUCCUGCCCACGUACGGCCGGCAGGGCCGGGCAGGGCACACUCCGUUAUCCAAUCCGGCGUCCGUGCACGCAGCGCACACCAUGUAGGCCACAAGAUCUCAGAUAGCUUAUGUCAUGGUGGUGGCAUAAGCUACCAGUACCAGCUGCAUGCCUGUGCUCUUCUUCAAUUGGAGGCUUGGAGUGUGCCCUGGGCCGGCCAUGGCCCAUGGGCGCGUACGUAGCAGCCGAUGGAUCCGGCGUUGGCUAGCUAUCUCUGGCCUACAUCAAGCUGCAGCUGGCUAGGCUACUUGGGUUCUUGAGGAAGCUCGGGGUGAAACGGCCAUGGCUGGCCGGCAGGGCGGCCUCGUCCACGGCGGCGGCGGCGACUUCUCACCUCUACUAAGGUAGGGCAACUUCUAUCCUUUGGCAAUUGUAACUUCUCGAUCGGGGAGCGUGAUGAUCUCUCUCCUGUGAGUACCGGUGACGAUCAUAGCAUGGUGCGAGUCUUCAGUGUCGUGUAACUACUAGUAGCUAGCUAUACCAAAUUGAUAUGAAGCUAGCUAGUGGUAGCUAGUAUGGGUGUGUGUGUAUGAUCCUGCUUGAAUCCUUCGAUUCUGCUAUCUAUGGGCAGUGUAUUUGUUGAGUUUUGUAUCUGGUAAUAUCUCUUUUGUUAACCCCGGCCGUAUAUUGACUAGUGUAAUCAUCAAUAAAUAUAAUUUGAUAUGUAUGCACACAGAUUGUGUUUGUAACAUACUGGUUCUUCUCCGUUGAUGCAAACCAGCCGGUCGCCGUCGAUGGCAGCAUGUUCUGUUCUGUUGGUUUUGCAAUUUGUAGUGUAGAUAGUACUCAGUUGAGACAUUUAUUUUCAGACGGGGGAGUAGUAUUAGCUUUCAGAUAUUUUAUUCGAAAUGAUAGGAUUUCCGCAUUCAUUAAGAAGAAUAGAGUUGCUCAGUUAAUUAAGAAACACCGAGCGAAAACCAGAUGCCCGGUUAAUUCUAGAGAACCGGGCGAAAAACAUCACAACCACUGAGCGACACACAUAAGAAACCCAUGCACACCACUCCAAAGACCUUGUCGAGAGCAUGCAGGUGUCAUCGUCAUCACUCCUCCCCAAGAGGCGUCAUCGCCAUCCCAAAAUUCGCAGCAAACGACUCCGACUUUGCCGUAGGCGAUCGUCAACUCAACCCACGCCAUUGCGGACGUUUGAAGUUGCAUGAAGAUCUGGGCCAAAACUCAGCCACCUGCGGCAAGACAACGCAGC